This 26-nucleotide unclassified non-coding RNA is filed under the name Mus musculus (house mouse). RNAcentral describes it as "oocyte_clustered_small_RNA12996". The record is from RNAcentral. Lineage: Eukaryota; Metazoa; Chordata; Mammalia; Rodentia; Muridae.
UAUCCACUCAAGUCCUCGCCGGGGUG